RNAcentral lists this ribosomal RNA (305 nucleotides) under uncultured bacterium. RNAcentral describes it as "bacterial SSU rRNA". It matches the Rfam family "Bacterial small subunit ribosomal RNA", at positions 335 to 660 of the family's 1533-position model. The record is from RNAcentral.
CAUCCUACGGGGCGCAGCAGGGAAUAUUGCACAAUGGGGGAAACCCUGAUGCAGCGACGCCGCGUGAGUGAAGAAGUAUUUCGGUAUGUAAAGCUCUAUCAGCAGGGAAGAAAAUGACGGUACCUGACUAAGAAGCCCCGGCUAACUACGUGCCAGCAGCCGCGGUAAUACGUAGGGGGCAAGCGUUAUCCGGAUUUACUGGGUGUAAAGGGAGCGUAGACGGCAGCGCAAGUCUGAAGUGAAAUCCCAUGGCUUAACCAUGGAACUGCUUUGGAAACUGUGCAGCUGGAGUGCAGGAGAGGUAA